GAAGUGUGGACGCCAGUCUGCACGGAGCCAUCCUUGAAAUACCACCCUUUAACGUUUGAUGUUCUAACCCGGGUCCAUAAUCUGGAUCGGGGACCGUGUCUGGUGGGUAGUUUGACUGGGGCGGUCUCCUCCCAAAGAGUAACGGAGGAGCACGAAGGUUGGCUAAGCAUGGUCGGACAUCAUGCGGUUAGUGCAAAGGCAUAAGCCAGCUUGACUGCGAGAGUGACGGCUCGAGCAGGUACGAAAGUAGGUCUUAGUGAUCCGGUGGUUCUGAAUGGAAGGGCCAUCGCUCAACGGAUAAAAGGUACUCCGGGGAUAACAGGCUGAUACCGCCCAAGAGUUCAUAUCGACGGCGGUGUUUGGCACCUCGAUGUCGGCUCAUCACAUCCUGGGGCUGAAGUAGGUCCCAAGGGUAUGGCUGUUCGCCAUUUAAAGUGGUACGCGAGCUGGGUUUAGAACGUCGUGAGACAGUUCGGUCCCUAUCUGCCGUGGGCGCUGGAAGAUUGAGAGGGGUUGCUCCUAGUACGAGAGGACCGGAGUGAACGCACCACUGGUGUACGGGUUGUGAUGCCAAUUGCAUUGCCCGGUAGCUAAGUGCGGAAGAGAUAACCGCUGAAAGCAUCUAAGCGGGAAACUUGCCUCGAGAUGAGUCUUCCCUGACCCUUUAAGGGUCCUGAAGGAACGUUUGAGACUAAGACGUUGAUAGGCUGGGUGUGUAAGCGCAGCGAUGCGUUGAGCUGACCAGUACUAAUGAACCGUGAGGCUUAACCUG
RNAcentral lists this ribosomal RNA (772 nucleotides) under Morganella morganii. Its description in RNAcentral is "partial 23S ribosomal RNA". It matches the Rfam family "Bacterial large subunit ribosomal RNA", at positions 2159 to 2925 of the family's 2925-position model. Lineage: Bacteria; Pseudomonadati; Pseudomonadota; Gammaproteobacteria; Enterobacterales; Morganellaceae. The record is from RNAcentral. RNAcentral also lists the same sequence under 1 other name.